RNAcentral lists this ribosomal RNA (450 nucleotides) under uncultured Glomus. RNAcentral describes it as "SSU rRNA". It matches the Rfam family "Eukaryotic small subunit ribosomal RNA", at positions 569 to 1024 of the family's 1831-position model. Lineage: Eukaryota; Fungi; Glomeromycota; Glomeromycetes; Glomerales; Glomeraceae. The record is from RNAcentral.
AGCAGCCGCGGUAAUUCCAGCUCCAAUAGCGUAUAUUAAAGUUGUUGCAGUUAAAAAGCUCGUAGUUGAAUUUCGGGAUUAGUACGUCGGUCGUGCCUUCGGUACGUACUGGUGUUACUGAUUCCUACCUUCUGACGAACCAUCAGGUCAUUAAUUUGGUGUGGCGGGGAAUCAGGACUGUUACUUUGAAAAAAUUAGAGUGUUUAAAGCAGGCUCGCGCUUGAAUACAUUAGCAUGGAAUAAUGAAAUAGGACGUUGACCCUAUUUUGUUGGUUUCUAGGAUUGACGUAAUGAUUAAUAGGGAUAGUUGGGGGCAUUAGUAUUCAAUUGUCAGAGGUGAAAUUCUUGGAUUUAUUGAAGACUAACUACUGCGAAAGCAUUUGCCAAGGAUGUUUUCAUUAAUCAAGAACGAAAGUUAGGGGAUCGAAGACGAUCAGAUACCGUCGUAGU